CCGAUAUCGACUGUUUUUAUAAGGGCUUCAAGAACAACUCCACUUAAAAAUGUUUAAAGCCUCAAAGGCCUCUAAUGAUUAUCAUAGAAUAAUCAACAUAAAUAUCGGCUCCAGUCGACUACACACUACAACACGCUGCUCGAUGCUCGUCGCACUAUAGCUAAUAGCAGUCGUCAAUGGUCGUUUCACCAAUUUCAGCACAAAUCUAGUUUCCCAAGUUCCGUUGUGUUGAUGUACAACAGCGAUCGCCAUACAAGAAUACAACUGGGACUGACUAAAUCAUGAUUUAGCAAGAAACAACAUUGUGAAUUGUGGAGUUUUUGACAUGUAGAUGCUACACAUUACUGCAGCUUUGUUGUUCAUUGGCCGCCUAUCUGACCAUCUCAUUGAAGCUGAAUGAAAAUGUUAUUUGUCAAUGUCACAAACCUGAAAACUGGUUGAUUGAAAAUAUACUUUUGUCAAAAAACACGUAUAUACUAAAUGAUGUUUCAAAACAAUUUACCAACUGUCAGUGAACUACUAGAAUUACAGAAUUGUUGAAUAGUCCCAAGAAAACGGUGCUGCUUAUUUGAUUAGAUAAGUAUACUAAUAUUCAAAUUCGUAAUUUUUUUAUGAUAUUUUUAUAGAUAUAUAAUUCUGUAGUGAAUAUGAAUAAUUUGUACAAUAAUAAUAAAAGUACUUAAAAUAAUAAUUAUUACAAUAUAUUAUAUACAAAUAUCCAUAUUUUUAUUAUUUGUUCAUCUAUAAUAUAAUAGGCUGUGCUGAACACGUCUACCCAGAGACCGGCUCAAAUGUAAAAUAUAUAAUUAAUAUUACAAAUAUCCUUUGUUUUAUAUAUAUAUAAAUUUAUUAAUUUUCAUUUUUAUAAUUGAUAUAAAUAAAAAUAAUACAUAUUAUUCAAAUUUUUGAACAUGAAUAUAAAAAAAUGUUUUUUUGUGCCACAAAAAAAGUUACAUUUAAUAAUUCAUACUCAACUAUUUUAGA
Long non-coding RNA from Rhopalosiphum maidis (corn leaf aphid), 984 nucleotides. RefSeq lists it as uncharacterized. Lineage: Eukaryota; Metazoa; Arthropoda; Insecta; Hemiptera; Aphididae. The transcript has 4 exons. The record is from RefSeq and is a predicted model, not a curated record.